This 2457-nucleotide long non-coding RNA is filed under the name Dasypus novemcinctus (nine-banded armadillo). RNAcentral describes it as "lncRNA (ENSDNOG00000050105.1)". The record is from RNAcentral. Lineage: Eukaryota; Metazoa; Chordata; Mammalia; Cingulata; Dasypodidae.
AUAUGCUGCAACUCAUGCUUUGAGUAUAAUUUUAAGCCUUAAAAGUUAACAUGUAACUGUGUGUUUUUGUUUCUUUUUCUUUAGGCCUCGAAGUAGAGGAAAAACUACAAUGGAGGAUGAGGACAGCAUGGAUGGUUUGGAGACAACAGAAACAGAAAAUAUUGUGGAAACAGAAAUCAAAGAACAGUCUGCAGAAGAGGAUGCUGAAGCAGAAGUGGACAACAGACAGCCAAUUCCAGUAUUUCAGCGUUCUGUGUCUGAAGAAUCUGCUAGUUCCAUGGUCUCUGUUGGUGUGGAAGCCAAAAUCAGGUGAGAGAAUGAAUGCAGCUGGGUUGGAUAUUAGUGACAGAAAGAAUGGCAGUGAGUUGAAUAGAGAAAAUUCAGGAAGCGCAAGCUUAAGAUGUAAGUCUGUAUAGAAUUCUGUUACAGGUAGCUUUAAUUUGAGGCUGAUAGCUCCAUUUGUAGUUGGGGGAGGUAUUUCUGUGUGCUUAGGCUGUUGUAGUACAAAGGCAGUGUGCUAUUUCUAGCAGAAAAAAUAACUAUAAGGAUUAAUUUUUGGUGUUUACCUGUAUACUUAGAUUUAUACUCCCAUUCUUUACCUUCAGUCAUUCUUUAAAAAAAACACAGGAUAUUUAAGCCUAUCAAUGUAUAAUUCAGCUUUGAAGUCUUGUAUUUUUUAGCCUUUAUUUGAAAGAUAUGAAUAAAAUGAUGAAAUUAUCAAUUAGUUGAUUACUCCCAUCUUUUUGAAAUGUUUUCUUUCUUUUGCUUUUGACACCCUUCACUCUUUUUUCAUGUCUUUUGUAGGUUUUUAUUAGACUUUCUAUCUUUAUAAUGUUUGGAUCCUCAAGGCUCAGUCCUCAGAUAUCUUGACUAUUUCUCAUCUUUACUUGAAAGCUCAUUCAGUCUGAUAGUUAUUAUUCCUAUUUGUGUGCUGAUGAACCCCACAUUUGUAUUUCUAGUGCUGACCUUUACCUGAGCAGCAGACUUUCAUAUCUAUCUGUCAACUUGCCAUCUCCAUUUGGAAGUAUACUAGACACGUAAUCAAUACAUAUCCUCAACAAUUGUUAAUUCUGCCCCUACUCCUCCUCCAAAUUAAUGUCUUCCUGAGAUUCCCCAUUUUAGUAAAUACCAAUAUUCACUCAGUUGCUUAGACCAAAAACUUUGGAGUUAAUCCUUGAUUUCUAUCUUUUGUCAUAUUUCAUAUCCAGUUCAGUUCAUCAGUGUAUCUUGUAGCUCAGCAUCCAAAGUUAUCCUAAACAAUUUCUUACUGUCUUUACUUACCUACUUGUUAGUUCAAGCCACUGUUAUCCUUAGGAGACUCUCCCCUAACUAAUUUACUUCUCUUUACCUUUCCACAAUCCAGCUUGUUUUUAGAACCAUUGCAAAAACAUUGAUUCUAAAAUUUAAAUCGGCUCCCCCACACACCUUCUUUAAUGUUUGUCUAUUUUAUAUAUAUAAAUUAAGUGUCAAAUUGUAUUUAAAUUUCCAGAUCCUUACCAUUUCCUACAAAACAUGUUCUGGUCCUGGCUACAUCUCUAACUUCAUUUUGUUAGUCACAUUUAGCCUUCCUCAAACAUACUGAUCAUAUUUCUGUAUAAGGAUCUUAGAACUUGCUGUACUCUCUUUUGCACAGCUUAUUUCCCCAGAGAAGCUUUCCCUAACUCAUCUGUUUAUAAUAGUGUAGACACUCCUGAGAGGUAUCCUGAUGUCUCAACUUAGUUUCAGUCAGUUUAAGGUCUAAGUAAACGGUAUACAGGUAUUCAUUAUACUUGUUGCCUCCCCUCUCCCCUCCCCCCCCCUUUUUGGUAGAAUAGAGAGUAGGGUGAAAAGUAAAUAAAUCAGCAACAGCACUACAUUUUAUUCCAUAAUUCUUUAUUUUUUUCAUAGUACUUGCCAUUUCCUGACAUUUCAUUUAUUUGUCUUCCUUUGUAUCAUGUGAGCUUCAUGAAGGCAGGUGCUUAGUCUUUUGUACCUAGUCACUGAUAGAGUUUAGGUGCUAUAUAAAUAAUUUUUAGCAUAUAAAUGAAUAAUGGAUGAAGCCAUCAAUUUCAAAUAAUUGAAAAUUGACCUUUAUCUCAGAGUCUUUCAAAUUUGUUUUUUCAAAUACAGAAUAAGCUGGAAUUAGAAAUAAGAAGUAGAAAUUCAAAAUUAGAAUUACUUUAAAAUUGUUCUACUACUUAUAGCAUAAGCCUAUCUUUAACUUUUUUUUUUAAUGAUUUAUUUAUUUAUUUAUUUAUUUCUCUCCCCUUUCCCCCCACCCUGGUUGUCUGUUCUCUGUGUCUAUUUGCUGCGUCUUCUUCUUUUGUCCCCUUCUUUUGUUGUCAGCGGCACGGGAACCUGUGUUUCUUUUUGUUGCGUCAUCUUGUUGUGUCAGCUCUCCGUGUGUGUGGCACCAUUCCUGGGUAGGCUGCACUUUAUUUUGUGCUGGGUGGCUCUCCUUACCGGGCGCACUCCUUG